RNAcentral lists this small nucleolar RNA (92 nucleotides) under Ananas comosus (pineapple). RNAcentral's name for it is "Small nucleolar RNA Z266". It matches the Rfam family "Small nucleolar RNA Z266". Rfam says of the family: Z266 is a member of the C/D class of snoRNA which contain the C (UGAUGA) and D (CUGA) box motifs. The record is from Rfam by way of RNAcentral. Lineage: Eukaryota; Viridiplantae; Streptophyta; Magnoliopsida; Poales; Bromeliaceae.
AGUGUGCAAGUGUGAUGAAUCAAUUAUGUGAAAGAAGAGAAGCGUCUCUUAUGAAUUUCAUUUUAAGCUUAUUAAUAUUCUGACUUGCUAUU